GGUCGAGUUGCACAGGCAUAACAUAAAAUGGCGUCGUUUUGAGGCCACCAGAACAGGCCCCAAACGACGUCGUUUUCUCAAGCAUAUAAAGCCCUCUUUAAUAGAUCAAUCAACCCUUCCCUUUUUGAUAUUAACCCUAGCUGUUUUCAUCCAUCCAAACCCCAAAGAGGACAAGCCCAAGCCACCAUGUAGCCACCGCAAACGGUGGCCGACGGAGGGUGGUCUGUUCGGAUUCUAACCCCGUUCAGACCCGCAAUCAAGAAUCUAACCUCUAUGAUAGCAAAGAAUCAAAAAGAUAGUAUCACCCUCUUUAUUAGAUCUGGUUUCAACGGAGAAGAAACUCCGAUAUAUACCAACGGUCUACGAUUCAGACGCACAAAGGUCAACGGGGCGGAGACUUCCAUUUUGGUGCAAAGGAUGGGCAGAGCCGGUCCUCGGGCAUCGAAUGCGCUGCUGAAGCACGUGGGCAGCAAAGGGGAGGCGUGGCGCUGAGGCUAGCUAAGGUUUCGGCUAGCUGAGGCUUAGUUUGGACACUGGGCCUAUUGGGCCGAUUGGGUUAAGGGUUUAGGAUUUGUUUGUAAAAUGGGUAGGAUUUGGGCCUUUUGUUUUUUUAUUAUUUUUUAUGUUCGGGCCGGUCAAUGGUUUGGGCCCGGGCAAAUUUGGGUACUCACACAAGGAACAAUGAAGAGUUUCUUGGAUGAAAAAUGAUGAACAUUUUCAUUAAGAAUGAAUAAUGGCAUAAUGCCAAUACAUAAA
This is a long non-coding RNA of Gossypium arboreum, 756 nucleotides long. RefSeq lists it as uncharacterized. The transcript is spliced from 2 exons. NCBI's taxonomy places the organism in Eukaryota, Viridiplantae, Streptophyta, Magnoliopsida, Malvales, Malvaceae. The record is from RefSeq and is a predicted model, not a curated record.